AUAUUGAAUUAUUCUAUAAGUUAUAAGCUGUAAAGUCAAGUGCCCAAAGGUUAAGAAACAACAAAUUUAAUUUGCUUUUUACACAUUAUUUUACUUGUAUAGGUAUAUUUUAUUCUAAAAAGCACCUAGCAAUUAGCCUGGAAGGUUAGAGGUUUUCUUUGCCUUCUCAUUCAGAGCAGAUCCAGGUCUCGUGUGUCAGCAGUCACACCUCAGGCCGUGUAUAGUCUUAGUAAUGAUUUAAUGGUUCUCUAAUCAGAAUUGUUUAUAUAUUUUUGCAAGGGAAGGACUGAUACCCCAUUAGUAUUACAAAUUAGUAGUUCAUAGGUUACAGGGUUGAAACAGAAACCUCCAAGAACACUAAGGAAAAGACAAAAAGCACGUAUGUAAUGCUUAUAUUUGUAGACUUGUCUGUACUGCAGAAAACAGGGUGUGGUACAGUGCAAUUAAAUUAAUACUGCAGUUAGUCUUUGUACCACUGUUUCUUAGAUUUAACCUUGCCACCUACAUCCACAUAAAUGGCAGAGAUAUGUAUUCACGUAAGUCAGUAAAAAUCACAUCAUUAAAAACACAUUUGUCUGCUCUUUAUUGUAGACCAUUGUCACAAAACUCAUCUUAAUUUGGGGUGUUCUCUGAGCUGUUGUUUGAGGCUUACCUUUUUUACCUUUUACAACAAAUAGGUUUUCAGUCCCUUCUGUGGCUCUUCUUGAGUUACUUUUUUUUUUUUUUAAUUUAAUAUAAAUCUGAGAGUCUUUCCCUGCCAGCACAGUUGGAGGAAGGUCAAAAGUAGAAUUUAUGCAUAACGAGAACAGUGUCCAAAGAUCAGAUGAGCUGAGGCCAGGUUUUCUGCUUUUGUACAGCUUACUUCCCCACCCCCCAAAAACAAACAAAGUGUUGACUGCCAAAUCAGAGCACAACAUACAAGUCCUCCUUCUGUUGUGAAAUGCCGUGGUUCUUCAUCAUGUAUCACAGGGGUAGGAAUCAAAGAGAGCUCUGCACGAAGGGCUGGUUAAUACAAGAUGUCAUCUGGCUGCAGUUGUCUCUUCUCAUCUGUGUAUCUUCAAAUGCAGUGACAGUUGCAGUGUUCCAUAAUUUUUGGGGGGCUCUCUUUGUUUUUCUAGAAGCAGUGACUUCUGCCUAGGUAUAAUUAGGCUUUUGUUUUACAUAAUGGAUAAAACCAAGCAAACAAUGAAAAACAACAAUGCAAAAAACCCACAACCCUUUGUGAGUAAAAGCAAAGAGAAUACAUGACUUGAGACUUGAAGUGGUAGGGCAUUCUGGUGAUGGGGUCUCAGAGGAUUGCUUAAUGAGUUGCUUUUUUUUUUCCCCCCCUUCAUUCUUUUAAAAGGGUUAAUUGGGCCAGGAAAUAAAUGCCUGAAGUGGUAUCUUUUUGGGUUUGUAUGAUUCCAAAAAAAAUCAAUAGACCUUGAUUUUGGAAUCUGCAAAUGGUGUGAGUCCUCACAUUUUCUUUGAACUAUUCGGUCUUCUUGUAAGUAAGUCUGUUUAGACACAGGAGACAGCGACAACUAUCUGUGAAACAGUUAAACCAUCAGUAAAUAAUUAACAUUUACAAUGCUGUCACAUAUUCAUAUUAGCAGGAGCUCUGUAAUAAUGCAUUGCCUCAUACUUAGUUAACGCGCUGUAUGAACACUAGGUAUCACAUUACAGUUAUAUGGGAUGUUACCUAGAGGAACUGCUACAGUGGUGUACCAAAGUCCCUGGCUUGAGCUGAAUAACCAGCCACUGUAAAUUGAUACUGUCUUAUCUGUAUCAGAGGAUUCUGUCUGGAGAUGUUAUGUAAAAGAAAAUGAUGACUUGUUACAUGAGGCACAUUAUGGGAAGCAUUCAGCCAUGCUGUGAGGCUUCUUCUCCUUCCAUUCCCAAUGCACAUUUUGGCCAUUUCAUUGUAUUUACUUGGCAUAUAACCAGUUCACUGGAAUUAGAUCGCAUUUACUGUGGUAUUUGGGAAGGCUGCCAGUUUGUGGAGGAGGCUUUGCACGAUGGUUUGUAAUGACUUGCCAUAUGCCCUAUCGCCUUGCAGUGCUCGAAAAGGAAGUAAAACUGAGAAUUACUGGUCCCCAGCCCUUGAUUUAAACUUCUCUAUCUUCAGGAAAAGGCAGUGCACUUUUCAACAUGACCACAAAGAGGAGUUGCCAUCUCUAGCCUUACUCAGCCUGAACGUGUGCUCCAUGAGAACAUCUGUCUCAUGAAGAUCUGCAAAACUCCAUUCGGAAUGGCUGAUGGAUGGCAUUUUUUCAACCAAAGUGUUUUUCAGAUGUGGUACAGUCCACAGGAAGCCUUUUGAAAUAGAAGAGGACUGUGGAGGCCAGCACAGCAUUAUGGUGUUGUGACUAAGGAGCUGUUUUGAAGAAUGAGAGAUAUUUCUUCUGAUAGAGCAAUAGAUGAUACUUAUCCUUCUCUUCUGUGGGAAAUCUGGUGGUUCCAAAUGGGACGAGGUAUGUCUGUGGGUCUCUGGGUUUCCCACUGGGAUGGCCAGGUGCUCCCAUCCCUGGGUGCCCUUCUCCACAUCAGCAGAGAAGAUCAACAGUGACGUCCGUGGGGAUUGCAUCUGCAGACCUCUCCAUUCCCAUGUCUGUAGAUUACUCAGAUAGGAUAAUGUGUUUAAAAAAGGAUUAUCUUGCUGGGUCUUGUUUGCCAAAUAUCAGCCUGGAGCCAGUUUUUACAGCUGAGUUACAAUGACCUGAUAGCAGCGUUUAUGAUAGAAAUUGUGCCAACUACUUGAUUCCAGCGGCGCGCUGGUCCUUUAGUCACUGGAAGACUUUGCUGUCAGAAUCACUUUUUAUUUUGCAGAUGGGAAUAUGUGUGGUGAAUAGUGCUUGGUGCCUCUCAGCACAGAGGCUCCAUGCUGGUUAGUGGUUAGCCAGCCUCACAGGCAGUGCCUGCAAGCAUCCCCACGCAGCGCUGCCAGGAACAACAGCGGCUGACGCUUGCACAGCACUUUUCCUCUUUGGGCUGAUCACGGGACACACUGCACAUGAGCUGUGGGUGCUGCAGAGCUGCCACUGUGGCUUUCUGGCAGCCCAGGGCAGGAGGGGUCAUGGUGGUAAGCAGGACAUGUGCUGCCCACCACUCCUGCAUGUGCCCUUGAGUAGGGGACACAGGCACCAUUGCUUCCUGGGGAUCGCUACCAAACUGCCUGUCUGAAGACUGGACUCCUUUACCCUAUGGACAGACAUAUCUUUAUAGGGAUAGUUUUAAUUCACCUGGUAUAGCACAACAGUUCCCUCAGCUCUUUUUACUACUUUUCAUGUCACUGGGGCAGAGAGUGGGAGUUUGUUCCUUUAAGGCGAAUAAUUUUUAAUUCUGAUCUGAUUCCCCACCCUUGAGGCACUUUUGGGUAAAGAAUACCAAAUAUGCAAAAUCAUAUCAUGUUUUUACGGUGGAGUUACUAAGCCUCAUUCACUCCUGUGUCCUCAUGCCAAAAAAAUUCUGAUGAGGCAACCCCACGACAGGGGGGUUUGCUCUGGUGGAGCUGCAGAACAACCAUUCUGUGGAUAUGCCCUUGGGAUACUGAAAAGCAACAGCCUUGUGUGUUGGUAUGGGCAAAGCUACCUAGAGUUUUGAUGAAAAGGAAAAUGUAUUUGCUGAGCCACCCUGAGUAACACUGAGCAACUUCUGCAGUACUGUGGUUGUUGUCACUGGUUGGGUUUGAGCAGCUCGUAGUCACGUAAAAGAACAUGAGAAAUGACAUUGUGAUCUGAGACCUCUGAGCUUAAGUUGGUGAUACAUUGCCUGCUUUUGGUUAAGCCCAGUAUGAAGGAAAUUGCUGCUGGUUGUGUUUCAUCAAUGCACUGACAAAAAGGGUUGCAUUUAUGUUUUCCAGAAAGUUGCUGAAUCACAUCACUGUGUAGAAUAUAUUCCUCAAAUUGUCUCUCUCCAAUUUCCAAAAAGGAAAAGGAGAAAAAAAAAAAAAAAAAAAAAAAAAAAAAAGAAGCAGAGCUGUAUCAAAAGAUGAAACAUUAUAGGGGUUAGUUAAGGAAAAGUAAUUCUAUCUUUUUAAAAAAAAUCUCAAGCUGCAAUGCCUAGGAACUGAGGGGCAGUGUUCCUUUUCUCUGUUACUGCUGCAUGACCUGUGCUUAACUAUAAGUAUUGCAGUCUUAAAGCCUGCUCUUGCUCCCCAGGAGACGAAUGCUACAGCAUUCUUAGACCUUAGUGUGUGGGGGGAAGAGCUCUCAGUAUAAUUUCAUGUAUAAAUAUUGUAUGCUCUGUGCCUGUUAAGUUUUUACAGAAAUGGAAGUUAGCUGGUGCACACUCUGGUGGCCAGUCCUUCUACAUGGAGAAUUCACAGGGAUGACACAGUAAAUUACACUUGCGGAUCUGCCAUGCAUUAUGCACCAUUUUCUCCUUUGCACAUUUGUUAUUUCUAAGAUGAGAAAGCAUAGGCCUCUCAGUUAAGCUUCUUACAAAUGUCUUUACUCCCAAACCUACAUCUUUCAGUUGCCAGCCUUUUGAUCUUAAAGGCUGAAUCUCCGUUUGUUUGGUAAGAUCCACUUUCUGUUAAUUUUUUCUGCUCACAGCUCCCUAUCUGUUUCAAAAACGAAACAAGAAGUCCCAUCAUUCUGUCUUUCCUUGGGCUAUAAAAACAAGGCAAGGUAAGGCUCUUGGCACAGGUUUGUAUUACGCUUAGCAGAGGCACCCUAGGCUGGGCCUUCUGGGCUGAACCAAUAACUACCAACUUUCUGUACCUAUAAUAAAUGUAUACAUGGGUUGAAGGUUUUUAUUUUUAUUUUUAUUUUUGUAUGUAUGUGUGUGUGAAUUAGAAUGGACGUAAUGUUUGAUUUGUUGAAAUUUGGACAUAUAAACAGUAAUCACAGUAUCACAGUAACUGAUAUUUUGGUGUUUUCUGUCUUCUGAAUGCAAUUUUAAUACUGAUCCUGCUUCUCUAAUGUUAUCUGUGACAUGCAGUUGUGCAUUUUCUAGUUAUUCUGAUUGUUCAGCAGGCAGCAUACUGCAUUCUUGCCUUCUAGCUAGUGCUGUAUUGCUUUGGCUGUAGGUGUCAGAAGAUGAAAUUCUGCUAAACUUUGAAGAAAGGAGGCUGAAGCAUUAGGACAUGCCAGCGACUACAGAAGAGAGAAAACAGUAAGUGAUUCUUGAUUUCUUGCAGGGCUCGGGUGUGAACUUGAACAUAGGGCAAGGAGGAAAGGAAGGGAGACGUAGCUGCAAUCCUCUUGCCCAGGCCUGGGCAGGUGGGUGCUGCUGCUGCUCCAUUCCUUUGCAGGGUAACCUGAUCAGGCCCUGGGAUUGCUCCCUAAGACAUGAUCGUCCUCCACCUUUGGCUGUCCUUCCCUCAGGGCUGUUCCUUAAGGCUGAAAACCCGUCACAGAGAAAAAGCAGGCGGCCUGCUCCCUCUAUAGGCUUUUCUGGUUGUUGCUGCCGGGAACUGGCUGCCUCAGACGAUGAGAGCUGCAUGCGUGUUUUGAAAGCUGACAAAAACUCUUACGUGAGGUGUAUUCUGCAUUUCUUUCACAUGUUUGCGUGUUUACAUGUGUAAAUGUGUAUAUGCACGUGGAUUCAUGUUUGUGUAUUUUUCAUGUUGUUUAAUGGCUGUACAUGUAGUCAUAUACAUGUAGCUACUUCCUCUGCUGAAGGAACAUGUAUGAAGCAGUUUUUACUGUUCAGUCUUGUUUCUUUUUGAACCAAUGCAUUAUCCUUUUUGUUUGUGAGCUAUCCGUUUGAUGACUGUGUAACCAUAACGCUCUUUCAAUUGCAUUCUACCUUUAUUAAGGGAAGAGAUGCUGUCUGAAGCAUGGCACACUUCCUCUCCAGCGCCUGCUCUCCUGACUGCACCAGCACCGCAGUUCUUGAUGCCAUUCUGAUAACAAAAGCAAUCUGGAUUCAGAGCAUCCUCUUCGUUGUGUGGAUCAGCCCAGGGAGCCGCCGUGCAGCCCCCUCCCAACAGAGCUGCGUGGAGGGAGGCAGGGUGGGAGGCAGGUGUCCUCAGGCAGCUAUUGAAGCUGGGUGCCCCUUGCUGCAAGCGCAGCUCCCUGCCUGCUGCUGGCGUGGGUAGCAGAGGGGAUUCCCCUGUGGUGUCUGAAACAGCGCUGCAGGGAAAGAUCCAACACAUCCGUGGGUUAUGUAUUAACAGUCAGUGAUGACCUUCUGCAGGGUGGGGGAGUAACUGUCUCACUGAAGCACUGGUAGAGAAGUGGCAGUUUUUCUGCUAUGCAGAGCACAGGUAUUAGCACCUAGCAGAAGGCUGUCAGGCAAUUUCCAUGCAGUGAUACUGUUAUCAAUUACUCCUUACUUUUAAAAAUGUGAAUAAAUUGUUCUGAAGUCUA
Molecule: long non-coding RNA, 6296 nt
Organism: Tympanuchus pallidicinctus (lesser prairie-chicken)
Lineage: Eukaryota; Metazoa; Chordata; Aves; Galliformes; Phasianidae
Exons: 6
Source: RefSeq, a predicted model, not a curated record